RNAcentral lists this ribosomal RNA (312 nucleotides) under uncultured bacterium. Its description in RNAcentral is "partial 16S ribosomal RNA". It matches the Rfam family "Bacterial small subunit ribosomal RNA", at positions 28 to 408 of the family's 1533-position model. The record is from RNAcentral.
GACGAACGCUGGCGGCGUGCUUAACACAUGCAAGUCGAACGAGUGGCGAACGGGUGAGUAACACGUGGGUGCUCUGCCUUGCACUUCGGGAUAAGCUUGGGAAACUGGGUCUAAUACCGGAUAGUGCAAGAUGAGCUCGCGGCCUAUCAGCUUGUUGGUGGGGUAAUGGCUACCAAGGCGCGACGGGUGGCCGGCCUGGGAGGGUGUACGGCCACAUUUGGACUGAGAGACGGCCCAGACUCCUACGGGAGGCAGCAGUGGGGAAUAUUGCACAAUGGGCGGAAGCCUGAUGGAGCGACGCCGCGGUAAUUC